This 85-nucleotide transfer RNA is filed under the name Felis catus (domestic cat). It matches the Rfam family "tRNA". From Rfam's summary of the family: Transfer RNA (tRNA) molecules are approximately 80 nucleotides in length. Their secondary structure includes four short double-helical elements and three loops (D, anti-codon, and T loops). Further hydrogen bonds mediate the characteristic L-shaped molecular structure. tRNAs have two regions of fundamental functional importance: the anti-codon, which is responsible for specific mRNA codon recognition, and the 3' end, to which the tRNAs corresponding amino acid is attached (by aminoacyl-tRNA synthetases). tRNAs cope with the degeneracy of the genetic code in two manners: having more than one tRNA (with a specific anti-codon) for a particular amino acid; and 'wobble' base-pairing, i.e. permitting non-standard base-pairing at the 3rd anti-codon position. The record is from Rfam by way of RNAcentral. RNAcentral also lists the same sequence under 1 other name. Lineage: Eukaryota; Metazoa; Chordata; Mammalia; Carnivora; Felidae.
GCCUGGGUGGCUCAGUGGGUUAAGCAUCUGACUUCAGCUCAGGUCAUGAUCUCACUGCUUGUGAGUUCGAGCCCUGCCUAGGGCU